UUGAACGCUGGCGGCAUGCCUUACACAUGCAAGUCGAACGGUAACAGGUCUUCGGAUGCUGGCGAGUGGCGAACGGGUGAGUAAUACAUCGGAACGUGCCCGAUCGUGGGGGAUAACGGAGCGAAAGCUUUGCUAAUACCGCAUACGAUCUACGGAUGAAAGCAGGGGACCGCAAGGCCUUGCGCGGACGGAGCGGCCGAUGGCAGAUUAGGUAGUUGGUGGGAUAAAAGCUUACCAAGCCGACGAUCUGUAGCUGGUCUGAGAGGACGACCAGCCACACUGGGACUGAGACACGGCCCAGACUCCUACGGGAGGCAGCAGUGGGGAAUUUUGGACAAUGGACGAAAGUCUGAUCCAGCCAUGCCGCGUGCGGGAAGAAGGCCUUCGGGUUGUAAACCGCUUUUGUCAGGGAAGAAACGGCUCGCUCUAAUACAGUGGGCUAAUGACGGUACCUGAAGAAUAAGCACCGGCUAACUACGU
Molecule: ribosomal RNA, 480 nt
Filed under: uncultured bacterium
Lineage: Bacteria
Description: bacterial SSU rRNA
Rfam family: Bacterial small subunit ribosomal RNA
Source: RNAcentral